RNAcentral lists this ribosomal RNA (281 nucleotides) under Bacteroides uniformis. Its description in RNAcentral is "partial 16S ribosomal RNA". It matches the Rfam family "Bacterial small subunit ribosomal RNA", at positions 524 to 805 of the family's 1533-position model. The record is from RNAcentral. Lineage: Bacteria; Pseudomonadati; Bacteroidota; Bacteroidia; Bacteroidales; Bacteroidaceae.
UACGGAGGAUCCGAGCGUUAUCCGGAUUUAUUGGGUUUAAAGGGAGCGUAGGCGGACGCUUAAGUCAGUUGUGAAAGUUUGCGGCUCAACCGUAAAAUUGCAGUUGAUACUGGGUGUCUUGAGUACAGUAGAGGCAGGCGGAAUUCGUGGUGUAGCGGUGAAAUGCUUAGAUAUCACGAAGAACUCCGAUUGCGAAGGCAGCCUGCUGGACUGUAACUGACGCUGAUGCUCGAAAGUGUGGGUAUCAAACAGGAUUAGAUACCCCGGCCGGCUGACUGACU